AAGUGCUGCGAUUACAGGCGUGAGCUACUGUGCCUGGCCUCAAUGAAUUAAGUAGACUGGCUGGACAGAUUCGAAGGUUGUAUGGUUCAAACAAAAAAGCUGACAGGCCAUUUUGGAUCUGCCUCACUGGAUUCACAACAGACAGUCCCCUUUAUGAAGAGUGUGUGAGGAUGAAUGAUGGAUUUUCUAGUUACCUGUUAGACAUAACAGAAGAAGACUGCUUUAGUUUAUUUCCCUUGGAAACCCUUGUGUACCUGACUCCUGACUCAGAACACGCUCUUGAAGAUGUUGAUCUAAACAAAGUUUACAUCCUCGGUGGGCUUGUGGAUGAAAGCAUUCAGAAGGUAAGUAUACAUUUCA
Molecule: long non-coding RNA, 360 nt
Filed under: Homo sapiens (human)
Lineage: Eukaryota; Metazoa; Chordata; Mammalia; Primates; Hominidae
Description: HSALNT0148741
Source: RNAcentral